Molecule: ribosomal RNA, 1059 nt
Filed under: Leifsonia sp.
Lineage: Bacteria; Bacillati; Actinomycetota; Actinomycetes; Micrococcales; Microbacteriaceae
Description: bacterial SSU rRNA
Rfam family: Bacterial small subunit ribosomal RNA
Source: RNAcentral
UGAUGCAGCAACGCCGCGUGAGGGACGACGGCCUUCGGGUUGUAAACCUCUUUUAGUAGGGAAGAAGCGAAAGUGACGGUACCUGCAGAAAAAGCACCGGCUAACUACGUGCCAGCAGCCGCGGUAAUACGUAGGGUGCAAGCGUUGUCCGGAAUUAUUGGGCGUAAAGAGCUCGUAGGCGGUUUGUCGCGUCUGCUGUGAAAACCCGAGGCUCAACCUCGGGCCUGCAGUGGGUACGGGCAGACUAGAGUGCGGUAGGGGAGAAUGGAAUUCCUGGUGUAGCGGUGGAAUGCGCAGAUAUCAGGAGGAACACCGAUGGCGAAGGCAGUUCUCUGGGCCGUAACUGACGCUGAGGAGCGAAAGCGUGGGGAGCGAACAGGAUUAGAUACCCUGGUAGUCCACGCCGUAAACGUUGGGCGCUAGAUGUGGGGACCAUUCCACGGUUUCCGUGUCGCAGCUAACGCAUUAAGCGCCCCGCCUGGGGAGUACGGCCGCAAGGCUAAAACUCAAAGGAAUUGACGGGGGCCCGCACAAGCGGCGGAGCAUGCGGAUUAAUUCGAUGCAACGCGAAGAACCUUACCAAGGCUUGACAUAUACGAGAACGGGCCAGAAAUGGUCAACUCUUUGGACACUCGUAAACAGGUGGUGCAUGGUUGUCGUCAGCUCGUGUCGUGAGAUGUUGGGUUAAGUCCCGCAACGAGCGCAACCCUCGUUCUAUGUUGCCAGCACGUUAUGGUGGGAACUCAUAGGAGACUGCCGGGGUCAACUCGGAGGAAGGUGGGGAUGACGUCAAAUCAUCAUGCCCCUUAUGUCUUGGGCUUCACGCAUGCUACAAUGGCCGGUACAAAGGGCUGCAAUACCGUAAGGUGGAGCGAAUCCCAAAAAGCCGGUCUCAGUUCGGAUUGAGGUCUGCAACUCGACCUCAUGAAGUCGGAGUCGCUAGUAAUCGCAGAUCAGCAACGCUGCGGUGAAUACGUUCCCGGGCCUUGUACACACCGCCCGUCAAGUCAUGAAAGUCGGUAACACCCGAAGCCGGUGGCCUAACCCUUGUGGAAGGAG